AUGGUUAAGUUAGAAAGGGCGCACGGUGAAUGCCUUGGCACUAGGAGCCGAUGAAGGACGGGACUAACACCGAUAUGCUUCGGGGAGCUGUAAGUGAGCUUUGAUCCGGAGAUUUCCGAAUGGGGAAACCCACUGUUCGUAAUGGAACAGUAUCUUUAUCUGAAUACAUAGGAUAUUGAAGGCAGACCCGGGGAACUGAAACAUCUAAGUACCCGGAGGAAGAGAAAGCAAAUGCGAUUUCCUGAGUAGCGGCGAGCGAAACGGAAUUAGCCCAAACCAAGAGGCUUGCCUCUUGGGGUUGUAGGACACUCUAUACGGAGUUACAAAGGAACGAAGUAAAUGAAGCGACCUGGAAAGGUCCGUCGAAGAAGGUAACAACCCUGUAGUUGAAACUUCGUUCCCUCUUGAGUGGAUCCUGAGUACGGCGGAACACGUGAAAUUCCGUCGGAAGCUGGGAGGACCAUCUCCCAAGGCUAAAUACUACCUAGUGACCGAUAGUGAACCAGUACCGUGAGGGAAAGGUGAAAAGCACCCCGGAAGGGGAGUGAAAGAGAUCCUGAAACCGUGUGCCUACAAGUAGUCAGAGCCCGUUAAUGGGUGAUGGCGUGCCUUUGUAGAAUGAACCGGCGAGUUACGAUCCCAUGCAAGGUUAAGCUGAUAAGGCGGAGCCGUAGCGAAAGCGAGUCUGAAUAGGGCGUUUAGUAUGUGGUUGUAGACCCGAAACCAGGUGAUCUACCCAUGUCCAGGGUGAAGUUCAGGUAACACUGAAUGGAGGCCCGAACCCACGCACGUUGAAAAGUGCGGGGAUGAGGUGUGGGUAGCGGAGAAAUUCCAAUCGAACCUGGAGAUAGCUGGUUCUCUCCGAAAUAGCUUUAGGGCUAGCCUCAUGUUGUGAGAGUCUUGGAGGUAGAGCACUGAUUGGACUAGGGGCCCCCAACGGGUUACCGAAUUCAGUCAAACUCCGAAUGCCAAAGACUUAUCCAUGGGAGUCAGACUGCGAGUGAUAAGAUCCGUAGUCAAAAGGGAAACAGCCCAGACCACCAGCUAAGGUCCCCAAGUAUACGUUAAGUGGAAAAGGAUGUGGAGUUGCUUAGACAACCAGGAUGUUGGCUUAGAAGCAGCCACCAUUUAAAGAGUGCGUAAUAGCUCACUGGUCGAGUGACUCUGCGCCGAAAAUGUACCGGGGCUAAACGUAUCACCGCAGCUGUGGAUUGACAUCUUUGCUGUCAGUGGUAGGCGCGCGUUCUAAGUUCAGUGAAGUCAGACCGUAAGGACUGGUGGAGUGCUUAGAAGUGAGAAUGCCGGUAUGAGUAGCGAAAGACAAGUGAGAAUCUUGUCCACCGAAUGCCUAAGGUUUCCUGAGGAAGGCUCGUCCGCUCAGGGUUAGUCGGGACCUAAGCCGAGGCUGAAAAGCGUAGGCGAUGGCCAACAGGUUGAUAUUCCUGUACCACCUCCCCGCCGUUUGAGUAAUGGGGGACGCAGUAGGAUAGGGUAAGCGCGCUGCUGGAUAUGCGCGUUCAAGCAGUUAGGCUGAUGAGUAGGCAAAUCCGCUCAUCAUGAAGGCUGAGCUGUGAUGACGAGGGAAUUAUAGUACCGAAGUUCCUGAUUCCACACUGCCAAGAAAAGCCUCUAGCGAGGCGGGAGGUGCCCGUACCGCAAACCGACACAGGUAGGCGAGGAGAGAAUCCUAAGGUGAUCGAGAGAACUCUCGUUAAGGAACUCGGCAAAAUGACCCCGUAACUUCGGGAGAAGGGGUGCUCUGGUAGGGUGUAUAGCCCGAGAGAGCCGCAGUGAAUAGGCCCAGGCGACUGUUUAGCAAAAACACAGGUCUCUGCGAAGCCGCAAGGCGAAGUAUAGGGGCUGACGCCUGCCCGGUGCUGGAAGGUUAAGAGGAGGGGUUAUCCUUUGGGAGAAGCUCUGAAUCGAAGCCCCAGUAAACGGCGGCCGUAACUAUAACUAUCCUAAGGUAGCGAAAUUCCUUGUCGGGUAAGUUCCGACCCGCACGAAAGGCGUAACGAUCUGGGCACUGUCUCAACGAGAGACUCGGUGAAAUUAUAGUACCUGUGAAGAUGCAGGUUACCCGCGACAGGACGGAAAGACCCCGUGGAGCUUUACUGUAGCCUGAUAUUGAAUUUUGGUACAGCUUGUACAGGAUAGGUAGGAGCCUGAGAAGCCGGAGCGCUAGCUUCGGUGGAGGCGUCGGUGGGAUACUACCCUGGCUGUAUUGAAAUUCUAACCCGCGGCCCUGAUCGGGCCGGGAGACAGUGUCAGGUGGGCAGUUUGACUGGGGCGGUCGCCUCCUAAAAUGUAACGGAGGCGCCCAAAGGUUCCCUCAGAAUGGUUGGAAAUCAUUCGUAGAGUGUAAAGGCACAAGGGAGCUUGACUGCGAGACCUACAAGUCGAGCAGGGACGAAAGUCGGGCUUAGUGAUCCGGUGGUUCCGCAUGGAAGGGCCAUCGCUCAACGGAUAAAAGCUACCCCGGGGAUAACAGGCUUAUCUCCCCCAAGAGUCCACAUCGACGGGGAGGUUUGGCACCUCGAUGUCGGCUCAUCGCAUCCUGGGGCUGUAGUCGGUCCCAAGGGUUGGGCUGUUCGCCCAUUAAAGCGGUACGCGAGCUGGGUUCAGAACGUCGUGAGACAGUUCAUUCCUAUCCGUCGUGGGCGUAGGAAAUUUGAGAGGAGCUGUCCUUAGUACGAGAGUGACCGGGAUGGACACACCGCUGGUGUACCAGUUGUCUUGCCAAAGGCAUCGCUGGGUAGCUAUGUGUGGACGGGAUAAGUGCUGAAAGCAUCUAAGCAUGAAGCCCCCCUCAAGAUGAGAUUUCCCAUAGCGCAAGCUAGUAAGAUCCCUGAAAGAUGAUCAGGUUGAUAGGUCAGAGGUGGAAGCGUGGCGACAUGUGUAGCUGACUGAUACUAAUCGAUCGAGGACUUAACCAAA
This 2937-nucleotide ribosomal RNA is filed under the name Priestia megaterium. RNAcentral describes it as "23S ribosomal RNA". It matches the Rfam family "Bacterial large subunit ribosomal RNA". Lineage: Bacteria; Bacillati; Bacillota; Bacilli; Caryophanales; Bacillaceae. The record is from RNAcentral.